GUUCAGUGAUGAAGAUACAGAUGAAGUGGAUAUGUUUUCUCACCUCUAAGUGCUGAAACCCACUGGAAGCAACAGACAUAUAAACAGAUAAUUGUAGUAACGUGUAAGUAGUGCUAUAAAGAUAUGUGAACAGAGUGAUGUGGAAACUUUAAGGAGGAGAGGAUUUUUUAUGUGAAUGUGUGCUGUUAUUCUCCCCUCUUCCUGGCAUUUCUUUCAGAAAGCUUCAUGAAAAGAAUGCAAAACAAAGAAAUUCUGAAUGUGCAUCUGGAGCUACCACACAGAGACAAGGGCUUCCCUGUACUGAGAUUGAAUAAGGUUAAAGAGAUCUCAGAAGCAUAAGAAAAACAAGUAGGGGACAAAAAGUGACAUGAUGAUGGAAAAUUAGAAGGUAAGAGUGAGAUGGAG
Molecule: long non-coding RNA, 405 nt
Filed under: Fukomys damarensis (Damara mole-rat)
Lineage: Eukaryota; Metazoa; Chordata; Mammalia; Rodentia; Bathyergidae
Description: lncRNA (ENSFDAG00000032366.1)
Source: RNAcentral